Molecule: non-coding RNA, 205 nt
Organism: Oryza meridionalis
Lineage: Eukaryota; Viridiplantae; Streptophyta; Magnoliopsida; Poales; Poaceae
Source: Rfam
AAUAAACGCAGUUGUGGAUUUAAGUGUCCAACUUUGAACAUCCGUCUUAUUUAAAAUAUUUUUAUGAUUAGUAUUUUAUUGUUAUUAGAUGAUAAAAUAUAAAUAGUAUUUUAUGCGUGACUUAACCUUUAAUAUUUUUUCAUAAAUUUUUUAAAUUAGACGGAUGGUCAAACAUUAGGUACGAAAAAUUACAGCUGUAGUUAUA